AUGCUGCUAAACUACCUUGGCUUGAUUAACUAUUACGAAAUUGUUUUGUUAUUUGUUGCAAGAAGUCUUAAGAUCAUACCUCAAGUAUGUAUUUUUUUGUUUGUUUGUUUCUUUGUUUUUUACCUCAGAGAUCAGCGUGAUUUCCCCACCAAGCAGGAAUGUUUAGAUGAUGCAUGCUCUGACAAGAAGAAGCAUCCCACAGAGCAGGUCACCCCAAAGACUGUCUCACUUCACCAUAACAUCACACCAGGCACUUUGACACUGAAGGAUCAAAGAACACAACACCAUUGGCCAUAGCUGCGUCCCCCCAUUCAGCUUGCACUGGACCCCUCAGAACGGGUGGCCUUUGUGUUGGACCAUAAAUGGACAGAUCUGAUGAGAACUGCCCAUGAUCAUCACUUGGUAAUGCACCAUGGGAGCAAGGAUCUUCUUAAACAGGUGGUUUUUUUCCUGUGUUCUCCACAACUUUAAAUUGUAUUAUUUUUACUAUUAUUGUAGUUGUUGUUGUUGUUUAAUCUACAAUUUUAAAUUAUUUAAUUUAUUUCCAUUUGUUAAUUAAAAUACCAGAAGUAUUGGCAUUGUUUGCACUGUACUUUCGUAUGUUUUUUAAAUUAAUUGUAUUGACUUGCAUUGUUAUUUUAUCUUGCUCAGUUUUGUAAACACUAAAUGUUAGUAACUGCUAUUAUUAAACUCUGUAAAUAAUUAUUUAAUUUAAAAUACUCUACCAGUCAAAUGUUUUUCAGCAGUAAGAUUUUUAAUGUUUUUUAAAGAAGUCUCU
This is a long non-coding RNA of Cyprinus carpio (common carp), 778 nucleotides long. The record is from Ensembl. NCBI's taxonomy places the organism in Eukaryota, Metazoa, Chordata, Actinopteri, Cypriniformes, Cyprinidae.